This 468-nucleotide ribosomal RNA is filed under the name uncultured bacterium. RNAcentral's name for it is "partial 16S ribosomal RNA". It matches the Rfam family "Bacterial small subunit ribosomal RNA", at positions 28 to 507 of the family's 1533-position model. The record is from RNAcentral.
GACGAACGCUGGCGGCGUGCUUAACACAUGCAAGUCGAACGGAAAGGCCCUGCUUUUGUGGGGUGCUCGAGUGGCGAACGGGUGAGUAACACGUGAGUAACCUGCCCUUGACUUUGGGAUAACUUCAGGAAACUGGGGCUAAUACCGGAUAGGAGCUCCUGCUGCAUGGUGGGGGUUGGAAAGUUUCGGCGGUUGGGGAUGGACUCGCGGCUUACCAGCUUGUUGGUGGGGUAGUGGCUUACCAAGGUUUUGACGGGUAGCCGGCCUGAGAGGGUGACCGGCCACAUUGGGACUAAGAUACGGCCCAGACGCGUACGGGAGGCAGCAGUGGGGAAUAUUGCACAAUGGGCGGAAGCCUGAGGCAGCGACGCCGCGUGCGUGAUGACGUCCUUCGGGUGGUGAACCGCUUUCGCCUGUGACGAAGCGUGAGUGACGGUAAUGGGUAAAGAAGCACCGGCUAACUACGUG